UGGGAUCUUAGGAAUAAUCACUGUGCUUAAUAAAUUAAUUGAAAUCUAUUUUACUAUUGGAAGAUAAAUUAUAGAUUUUAAUUAAUAUUUUUAAAAAAUCUCGAGAGAGAUUAUUAAAUAAUUUAGGAUUAUUGAUCUUUGUAUUAAUAAUUAAAUUUGGAUUAUUAAUCGAAAUAGCUAGAAUUGAUAAUUAGUCCAAGUGAAAUCAGAUAUACCCUUGUGGUUUAUCAAUCGAAUUUUGAUUCAGCUUUCAUUGAAUUCUUCAGAGUU
This 270-nucleotide long non-coding RNA is filed under the name Elaeis guineensis (African oil palm). RNAcentral's name for it is "long non-coding RNA (EGUI_LNC052402)". Lineage: Eukaryota; Viridiplantae; Streptophyta; Magnoliopsida; Arecales; Arecaceae. The record is from RNAcentral.